This 422-nucleotide ribosomal RNA is filed under the name uncultured bacterium. RNAcentral describes it as "bacterial SSU rRNA". It matches the Rfam family "Bacterial small subunit ribosomal RNA", at positions 355 to 774 of the family's 1533-position model. The record is from RNAcentral.
UGAGGAAUAUUGGGCAAUGCCUGAAAGGGUGACCCAGCAACGCCGCGUGGAGGAUGAAGGUCGUAAGAUUGUAAACUCCUGUUAGAGGGGAAGAAUAACUAAGUUUGGAGCUUAGUAUGACUGUACCCUCAGAGAAAGCCCCGGCUAACUACGUGCCAGCAGCCGCGGUAAUACGUAGGGGGCAAGCGUUGUCCGGAUUUACUGGGUGUAAAGGGCGCGCAGGCGGAAUGGAAAGUCAGUGGUGAAAUCCUACAGCUUAACUGUAGAACUGCCUUUGNUACUUUCAUUCUUGAGUUCGGGAGAGAGAGACGGAAUUCCAGGUGUAGUGGUGAAAUACGUAGAUAUCUGGAAGAACACCAGUUGCGAAGGCGGUCUCUUGGUCCGAUACUGACGCUGAGGCGCGAAAGCGUGGGGAGCAAACA